Molecule: small nuclear RNA, 106 nt
Organism: Lemur catta (Ring-tailed lemur)
Lineage: Eukaryota; Metazoa; Chordata; Mammalia; Primates; Lemuridae
Source: RefSeq, a predicted model, not a curated record
GUGCUAGCUUCAGCAGCAUACAUACAAAAAUUGGAAUGAUUUAGAGAAGAUUAGCAUAGCCCCAUGCAAGGAUGACACACAAAUUCAUGAAGCGCUCCAUAAUUUU